CCAGGCCAUCCUCUAAAAGCCUUCACCUCACUGUGCAUGCAAAUGUACUGACAUCUGCCUGCUGCCAUUCCAGAGCAAGUUCUACACUGGUAGAGACCCUAUCCCA
This is a long non-coding RNA of Bufo bufo (common toad), 106 nucleotides long. RefSeq lists it as uncharacterized. NCBI's taxonomy places the organism in Eukaryota, Metazoa, Chordata, Amphibia, Anura, Bufonidae. The transcript has 3 exons. The record is from RefSeq and is a predicted model, not a curated record.